GGGGAAUUUUGGACAAUGGGCGAAAGCCUGAUCCAGCCAUGCCGCGUGCAGGAUGAAGGCCUUCGGGUUGUAAACUGCUUUUGUACGGAACGAAAAGCCUUCUUCUAAUAAAGGAAGGUCAUGACGGUACCGUAAGAAUAAGCACCGGCUAACUACGUGCCAGCAGCCGCGGUAAUACGUAGGGUGCAAGCGUUAAUCGGAAUUACUGGGCGUAAAGCGUGCGCAGGCGGUGAUGUAAGACAGAGGUGAAAUCCCCGGGCUCAACCUGGGAACUGCCUUUGUGACUGCAUCGCUGGAGUACGGUAGAGGGGGAUGGAAUUCCGCGUGUAGCAGUGAAAUGCGUAGAUAUGCGGAGGAACACCGAUGGCGAAGGCAAUCCCCUGGACCUGUACUGACGCUCAUGCACGAAAGCGUGGGGAGCAAAC
Molecule: ribosomal RNA, 425 nt
Filed under: uncultured bacterium
Lineage: Bacteria
Description: bacterial SSU rRNA
Rfam family: Bacterial small subunit ribosomal RNA
Source: RNAcentral